AGAAUGCGAGAGGUACGACGUCUGGAUUUUCGUCAUCAAUUUUACUUAUUUACAAUGAGAAAUGAUGUUGGACACACGACAACGACGACUGAUCGAAACUUUACAAGCACGUGGGGAAGCCAUUGGAAAGAUGACGCAAUAUGUACGUACGACGGUCCACAUCUUUCUUGCUGCCGCUUACUCCGCCAUUCUGAAUUAUUUCGUGGCGUUUGUCGCAAGCCAGCUUCGUCCUCUCGUUGACUGCAGAUCGAAACAACGAACACGCGGGGAAGCCAUUGGAAAGAUGACGUAACGCGUACGCGCGACGGUCCAUAGCUUCCUUCCUGCCGCCUAAUCCGCCAUUCCAAAUCGUUUCGUGGCACGCGUCGCAACAGAGCUUCGUCCGUUCGUUAAUUGCAGUUAAUUAGAAUAGUUUAUUCAACGUGUACCAUUAUUUUACAUACCGAUCGAACGUCGAAAAAGCGAUAUCCGCGGAAUGGGAGAGGUACGACGUCUGGAUUUUCGUCUUCAAUUUUACUUAUUUACAAUGAGAAAUGGUGUUGGACACACGACGACGAGUGAUCGAAACAACAAACGCGGGGAAGCCAUUGGAAUGAUGACGUAACGCGUACGCGCGACGGUCCAUAGCUUCCUUCCUGCCGCUUAAUCCGCCAUUCUAAAUUGUCUCGUGCCAAGCGUUGCACUCGAGCUUCGUCCUCUCGUUAAUUAGAAUUAUUAGUUAAUUAGAAUAUUUUAUCUAACGUUCACUCAGAUUUUAUAUAGCGACGAAUACCAAAAAUGCGAUUUCCGCGAGUGAAUUUAUUAAUAACGAUCACGCUCAAUUGCGAAAUAUAACUUAUUCUACUGCGUUCCUUAACCUAACAUAAUCAUCUAAGCCAUCGUUCUUUCGAUUAUAGAAUGGAAGAGGUACGAUGUCCGGAUUAUCAAUUUUACUUACGUACAAUAAGAAGUGAUAUUCGAAACAGGACGACGAGUGGACAUAAAUUCUGUGAAUUUGUUCGUGAGCGUUAACGAUACAGUGUGCCCUGUGUUCCUAGAAAGAAGCAAGAUGGAUUCGGCUAGAGUUCAACAGAGUAGACGUCUUCCAUUUAAGUUUAUACAUUCAUUCUUCGAUUAAGCAGUGUUCUUUCAGCGAAACUUCUUUUAGUAAUUUGCCGUCAGAGUAUAUUUUUUGUUCGAUUGUACAUUUUUUGGGAAGUGCGUUUUAUAUACGUGGAAUAGUUGAUAAUUCGGAAUUCAUUCAAAUUGAUUAACGUUGAUGUAACAUUAUUUCUUUAAUUUUACAUUAGUGGAUUCUACAUGGAUUCUUUCAACCUUCAUCGUCGUCAUGUGAUUAAUAAUCGACAUCAUCAGGAUAGGGAGGAGUUGUGCACGGUCGUCACCGCGCAGUUGAAUCUUUCUAGACGCAACCCACUUUUUAUCGAGCACUUGUUUAUGGUCGAGAUUUGUCUCGUACCAUUUUCUGUGCAUUUACGCUGGUUGCUCUGCCUUCGUCCAGCAUUAUAAAAUAACCGAGGACAUUCUACUCUCCUCCUUAUUUUUUAGACCUGCUUCAGAUGUCGUUAAUUGAUCUCACGUCGAGGACGAUCGAUGGGAAAAUCUAUGUACGCGAACGCGCUUAAUCUACAUUAUUUUAACGAGUCGUCGUCCGUCUUGGAAUAUCACUGCGAAAUAAAAAUUGUAGACUUUUCGUCGAUAGUACAUGACAGAACGAAUACUGCUUAAAUCACGGAGUGGAUGUAUCAUUCGACGGAUCGUUUCCUGAUUGCUGUAAUGCGGUUGACAGUUCUUUAGCCCACGUGGGGAAGCCAUUGCAAAGGUGACGUAAUGCGCAAGCGCGGCGGUCCACAGCCCCCUUACUGCCUCAGAAUCCUCGUUGAUUGCAGAAUGGAAGAGGUAGGACGUCCAGAUUUUCGUCAUCAAUUUUACUUAUUUACAAUAAUAAAUGGUGUUCGACACACAACAACGACUGGAUGUAGACGUGAUUUCUUUCGUUAUUGUUGACAUUACAUCGUGGCUAGUUUUCUUAAAAAUAAGCAAGAUGAAUUUAGUUACAUUCGAACAGAAUUGACAUCUUGACAGUACGAACGCUACUUAAAUCGUGGAAGGAAGCGUUCCUUGAUCUAACAACCAGCUAAGGAAUCAUUAUUUUCGAUGAUAGAAAGAAAGAAGUAUAAAGUUCAAAAUUUUCGUCAUCAGUUUUACUUAUCUAUGAUAAGCAAUGGUAUUGGACACAGGACGACAACUGAUAAGCAAUAGUUGACAUAUAUUAUUAUUUAUUUUCACGUUACCCUUUACGAUAACGUUUAGCUAAUUCUACAUUUAUUUUUUCAGGUUAUAGGCAUUGCGAUUUCGUCCGUUAUUGUUAACAAUGCAUCGUGGCCCGUGUUCCUUGAAAUAAGCAUGGUGAAUUUAGUUACAGUCGAACAGAAUUGACAUCUGUUUACACAUUCAUUCUUCGAUUAAACAGUGUUCUGUUAACGAUACUUUUACAUCCGAGUAUAUUUUUCUUCCGAUUACAUUUUUCAUUUAAUAUACAUCGAGUAGCUGAUAAUUCAAAGUUUAUUCAAGUUGGAUAACGUUAUCGUAACUUCAUUCCUUUAAUCGAUGAAAAAAUCUAUUUAAGCGAACGCGUCUUAAAUAACACUAUUUCAACGAAUCAUAUGGUCUCUCUUGAAAUAUCGCUGCGAAAUAGAAACGAUAGGCUUUUCGUCGAUAGUAUACGACAGAACGAACACUGUUUAAAUCGAAAUAUAUGUGUUAAUUGGGUCGUGGAUUCCCGGAUAGCAGUUCCUAAGUAUCACGCUCGUUAGAGCAAGAUGGUUCUCUAUUCUCUUGUCUGAUGAGGAAUACUUAACAUUUUGAUAUUUUUAUUAUAACACUAUUUUUAUUAACUUUGUUAAUUUUUUUUUUUUUUUUUUUUUUCUUUUAGGAAGCCUAUGUUGUAAUUUCGUUCUACUGUUUGGAUACGGAUAAAAGAACAAUUCAACGCUCUAGUUGGAAAUGGUCUUUGUAAAAUUGCGACUCAUGGAAAGCCUCCUUCCUCUAGGAUCUAUCAUGAAUAUGAAGAUGAGAAAGGAAAGGAAAGGAGCCAGGAAGAUGCGAUGGAAGCAAUAACGAAGGAUGGAAUCUUGAAGAAUCUUCCAUUGGAUUAAAAUCAGCAGGAAAACAACGCUUCCUUCAUUUUACCGAACCGAAAGAAGACUCGCCUCUCCUUCGUGCGUAUUGCUUCUUUAAAUCUGCUUAAGCUCCAACGUUCUACGUAAUUCUCGGCGAUAUUGCGCACCCCUAAGCGUUUCUGCGUGACACCCUAAGCGAUCCUGCGAUACCCUAAGCGUUUCUGCGACACCCUGAGCGUUUCUGCGACACCCUGAGCGUUUCUGCGACACCCUGAGCGUUUCUGCGAUACCCUGAGCGUUUCUGCGAUACCCUAAGCGUUUCUGCGAUACCCUGAGCGUUUCUGCGAUACCCUGAGCGUUUCUGCGAUACCCUGAGCGUUUCUGCGAUACCCCGAGCGUUUCUGCGACACCCUGAGGGUUUCUGCGACACCCUGAGGGUUUCUGCGACACCCCGAGCGUUUCUGCGACACCCCGAGCGUUUCUGCGACACCCCGAGCGUUUCUGCGACACCCCGAGCGUUUCUGCGACACCCCGAGCGUUUCUGCGACACCCCGAGCGUUUCUGCGACACCCCGAGCGUUUCUGCGACACCCCGAGCGUUUCUGCGACACCCCGAGCGUUUCUGCGACACCCCGAGCGUUUCUGCGACACCCCGAGCGUUUCUGCGACACCCCGAGCGUUUCUGCGACACCCCGAGCGUUUCUGCGACACCCCGAGCGUUUCUGCGACACCCCGAGCGUUUCUGCGACAUCCCGAGCGUUUCUGCGACAUCCCGAGCGUUUCUGCGACACUACCUUGAGCGUACCUUGGAUACCCUAAGCGAUCUUGCAUGAUACCCUGAGCGUUUCUGCGACACCCUCAGCGUACCUGCGCAAUCCCUAACGUCGUAUUCUGUUCAAUUCUCAGCGUUUUGCGUAACCACCAGCAUUUCAAACGAUUCCCCUGCUUUAGUCUUGCGCAUAAUUGCGAUGUUUUACGAAAAAUUACAAGAUAGAAACAAAUUUGUUAGAAUCAUUGUUAUAAUAUUGUUGGAGUUUAUAGAGCGUUGAAAAAAUGAAACUUCAAUUGGAAGGUAGUACAUCAGUUGAUUUUUUCUUUCCGGAAGGUUAACAUAAAAUUGUUUUAUACUUCACAAGAUAUUACGUGCGGUGCAACGUUUAAGCGGUUGUAUUAUUGUUUAAAUCUUAUUUUAUAUCGACCAAUCGUAUAUUAUAGAUUCUUUAAAUAAUUGUAAAGUGAUAGAAAGCAUACAUAAACUUGGGUGCGUUAAGAAAACUAUUAUUUAAGUAUAAUUUUAUAUCGAACAAACGUAUAUUGUAAACCGUUUAAAUAAUUGUAUAGUGAUAAGAAGCGUAUAUAAACAAUGGUGCGUUGAGAAAAAUAUUUAAAUAUAAUUUUAACUCGAGUAAACGUAUAGUAUAGAAUGUUCAAAUAAUUAGUUAAACUAAUAGAAAGUAUACAUAAAUUCUGAUGCGUUGAGAGAAUUAUCGUUUAAUUAUAAUUUUAUACCGAACAAACGUAUAUUGUAAAAUUGUUUAAAUAAUUGUAAAGUGAUAGAAAGCAUACAUAAAUUUGAUGCAUUAAGAGAAUUUUAGACCACCGUUGGGCGUAUCGAAAACCGUCGUCCAGUAUUUAUCCGUAACAACAAACAUCUUUUUAGACAAUUCUUAGGAUAUCGCGUGACCCCAGCUUCGCGAAUAAUUGAAAUGCUCAUAUACUAAAAAAGAAAAAAUAUUAUUUUUAUCAUUGUAAUAAGAAAGCGUCGAAAAAAAGGAAGGCAGUAUGUAAGCAGAUUUCUGUUCUGCGAAACGUUCGAUUAAAAUUAUUUUCUACGUACUACGAGCGGUAUAAAGCUUGAGCGGCGGGGUUGUAUUCUGUAAAUAUUAGUUUGAUACUACCGAGCGUACAUAUGUAGCGUACAUUGCUUAAAUGAUUGUAAAACGACAAAAAAUAAAAAUGAUCUAGGUUUAGCGCGGUUCAACGCGGUCCAACGCGUGUACCGGAAAUUUUAGGGCAUGGUAGAGCGUUUCAACUACCGUGAAUCCAUUCGUGCGUAAUUAAGCGUGUUGCGUAAUUCCGAACAGAUUGGCGUAACCCUUAGAAAUAUUGCGUAAACCCCUAACCCUUAUUUAGGUAAAUUCUCUGGCUCUGCCAGACGCAACCCAGCGAUUUCGCCCACUACGUGGUUCGGCGUAAGUAUCCAUUUGGCAAGGUAUGGGUUUUUUUUUACACGUAAGUCCUGUCGAUUUUUCGCAACGUCCAACGUGGACACCCAGAGUUUUGUCUUUUUCAGGUUAUCUGCAACCUCGGAGUUAUUUAUUCACCUACAUACUAUCGAGAUUACUGAAGCGAUGGUAUUUUUUUUGCAUAAUGUUGAGGGCAUUGCGUCGUUUUGAACGAAUGCGCGUAAUCAGUAGUUUUUUUUUUUGUAUGAAGCCCACCGUAUCUAUAUAAUCCUUACAGAUUUUGUGUAAACCUUUGCGUGUAUUCAGCUGAACUUCUGUGGUCUAACUUCGGUGUAAUCCAGAUGCGACCCAACGAUUUGCAGUAAGUAUUUUUCUCACUUACUGCCUUUAUGUUCGUUCCGUAAUUCUACGCGUGUUGCGUAAAUUGCAUAGUAUCUGCAACCCGCAGCUCAUUUUCCUAGAUACCAGCGAAGUUAUUUAAACUGCGGCAUUUUUUUUUCAUAGUUCGGGAUAUUUUCGUUUUAUCCGAAGAAUCCGCGUUAUUAUAUAGCCUAACGUCUCUGUGUAAACCGUGGCGUGUAUUUAGCUUCAUUUUAGCGUGUCUACUUAACUCUAACGUUUCCACAUUAUCACUUAGUUAUCGACCGUAUUUUUUUUUUAACGUGAUCUCUAUUCGUCGCGUAAUUCUUCGCGUAUAUCGUAAUUUGGAGGGUAUUUAGAGCCCUAGCUUAUUUUCCAUGAUACUAGAUGGGUUACUUACCCGACAGAAUAUUUGCAUAGUCCCAGGGGUACUUCCGAUGAAUCGUUGCAAUGUCCAACUUCUUUACAACGCCAAGCGAUUUUGCGAAACCUUUGCACGAUUUGAAAGCCCUAGUGUAACGUAGCGUAACGUAUUUUUACAUAACGAUCCCGAGAUUUGUCGAAAGUACUUCUUUUUUCUUUUUUCAUAAUGCUUGUCGGAGGUUUUUCUUUUUGACAUUCUUAACAGCUGCGUUAUUCGUAGAAUACUCUAAGCAGCUUAUUUUCGUAGAUACUAGCUAGGUUAUUGAAACGACAGCAUUUUUUCUUUUUUCCUUUUUUUUUAUAAUUCGUGGGGCACUCGUUAGAUCCGACGAAUCUGCGUAAAUACUAGGGUUUUACUCGUAGAUGACCGUGUACUUUCAUGUGUAUCUGCAACUAUCAGCUUAUUAAUCGAAGAUAUUACCGAGGUUAUAUGAUCGACUGCAUUUAUUUUGCAUAAUCUGUGGGGCACUCGCGUUAUUUCCGAAGAAUCUACGUAAAUACUAGGGUUUUCAGGAAAUGCAGCGUUUCUGUGUAAUCCUUGUAGAUUUGGCGUCGGUAAUAGGGCGUAUUAGGUAGCCUCCGAGAAUGCGGCGUAAUCCGAUUGUUUCCGCGUUACCACCCUGUGAUUUCGCGUAAGUACUUGCAUUUAUACGUAAUACUUGUGUAAAUUCCUGUCGGUUUUCGAUAACUCGUGGAUGACCGUGUAGUUCCCGUGUAUUUACAACUGUCGGCUUAUUAAUCGAAGAUAUUACCGAGGUUAUUUUAUCGACUGCAUUUUUUUUUUUUGCAUAAUCCGCGGGGCACUCGUUAUAUCCGACGAAUUUGCGUAACUACUAGCAUUUUCAUAAAGUCCGGCAUUUCUGCGUAACCUACAGAUUUUACAAAAAUCUAAGUACGCAAUCUACAGCGUGGGACAUAACCCCACUGUCUUCGCUUUACCAUCCGGUGAUUAGAAGUAUUUGUCCGUUUUCUUUUUAGGUAAUCCCUCGGUUUUUCAAUAAUUCCUAACGUACCGACGUAGUUCCUAGGUUUAUCAGCAAUACCCAGGUUAUUUUCUUAGAUACUAGCGAGGUUACUUAAACGAUAUUUUUGUCCUCCGAGCUUUCUCCGUAAUCUCAUUUUUUUCCGCAUAACCAUCUCGUGAUUUCGCUCAAGUAUAUUGUUUUUCCGUAAUGGAUGUCGAUUUUUCCUAACUCCUAGAUGACCGUGUAAUUUCCAGGAUAUCUGUAACGAUCAGCUUAUUAAUUCUAGAUAUUAACGAGGUUAUUUAGUCGAUAGCAUUUUUGAAUAGUCCCUGAGGCGGUUGCAUUAUUUACGUAGACUAUACGAACUACCAGCAUCUUUAUAAAGCUCAUCGUUUCUGGGUAACCCUUACAGAUUUUGGCUUAUCCGACUGGCGAUUUGAAGUAAGUAUUUGUGCUUUAUUUUUUAUUCUUAUGUAAUAUCUGUCUUCAAUAAUUACUAAUAUACCGACGUAAUUUCUAGGUUAUCCGUAGUACCCAUCUUAUUUCCCUAGAUUCUAGAGAGGUUACUUAAACGACAACAUUGUUGCAUAAUCCCAGGGGCAUAUUCGUUAUUUCUUACGAAUCAAGUAACGACCAGCGUCUUCAUAAAGUGCAGCAUUUCUGUAUAUUCUCGUAGAUUUGUCGUCAAUCCCAGAACGUAUUUAGGUGGCCUCCGAGCGUCAGGCGUAACGUCAUAGUGUCUGCAUAAGCGAAUAAAUUUGUUUUUACCUAACGCUUGUCAAAAUGCUUGUCGAUUUUGCAUAAUUCCUAGAUGUCCGUGUAAUUUCCACGGUAUCUUCAUCCACCAACUUACUAAUCCUAGAUAUUAACGUAGUUAUUUAAUAAACAGCAAUUAGCAUAGUCCGUGGGGCGUUUGCGUUAUUAUCGAAAAAUCGGCGUAACCACCAGCAUUUCCAUAAAGCUCGUUUCUAUGUAACCCUUACAAAUUUUGCAAAAAUUCUAGUACGUAUUAUGGUGGUUUACAGUGGUUCGACGUAAUUCCACAGUAAUCGCAUAAAAACCAUCCAGUGAUAUGAAGUAAUUAUUUUUCUUAUGUUCCUCUCUCUUAGGUAAUCGAUUGGUUUUUCCUGUUUAUCUGUAAUGCCCAGCUUAUUUUUCUAAAUAUUACGUAGAAUCGAUAAAUGACAACAUAUUUGCAUAAUCCCAGGGGUACCGCCGUAUGGGUGUGAACGUAAGUGUGUACGUACGAAUGAGAGCGUAGAGUGCCUCUACCGGCCAUUUUCUAAAACAGGUAGCAGGCCUCCGUAAUUUCCGUGUAAUCACUCUCAGACUGAUUUUAGUGUAUAAUAUUUGUUUCAUUUUAUUGUAUACUAUUUGCCUGAUUUUAUUGUAUAAUAUUUGUCUCAUUUUAAUAUAUACUAUUUGUCUAAUUUUAUUGCAUGAUAUUUGUGUGAUUUUAUUAUAUAAUAUUAAACAGAGGAGAAACUAUAAGUAGACAUCAGAAUUUGAAUGUUUGUGAUUGAUCAUUUAUACGACGCCUUUGAAUAAUCGUCUAAAAAGAAAACGGUUACAUCAAGCUUGCGUCUUUAUUGAAUAAGAGACACGACUGAGCUUCGAUGACAUUCCGCCUGCAGUACGUCUGAUUUGCGUUCAGUAUUCUAUCAGACUUCCUUCUGUUUCAUGUUAAAUUAUGCGGCAUAAGCUGUGGAAAGAUUGUAAAAGAGACGUAUAAGAACUGUAUGAGAGUUGUGCAAAAGUUGUGUGAGAUGUCCAAAAUGUGUGUAAAAGUUGUGUGAGACUUACGUAAAAGGUGCGUAAAACUUGUGAGAAAAUUCUGUAAAAGUUGUAGAAAAAGUAUUGUCUGAAGGUUGUGUCUGAGGUUGUGUCUGAGGUUGUGUCUGAAGGUUGUGUUUGAAGGUUGGGUCUGAGGUUGUGUCUGCAGGUUGUGUCUGAAGGUAGUGUCUGAAGGUUGGGUCUGAGGUUGCGUCUGAAGGUUGUGUCCGAAGGUUGCGUCCG
Vespula vulgaris is the source of this 9068-nucleotide long non-coding RNA. RefSeq lists it as uncharacterized. The record is from RefSeq and is a predicted model, not a curated record. NCBI's taxonomy places the organism in Eukaryota, Metazoa, Arthropoda, Insecta, Hymenoptera, Vespidae. The transcript has 12 exons.